UUAAGUUAAUUGCACGUUUGCUAAUUUGCCGUAACUCUUAAUCCAUGCUACAUAGUAUUUAGAGCAUAAGUUAUAAAGUGGUACACGAAUUUAAAAGCCGACUUGCUUCUCAUAUGAAGCUAAAGCGUAUCAUUUCUAUUUCUAAGCAUGGCUAAGAACUGUCUCGUCAACUUUAAUCCAAUAGCGUGAAGCGUAACUGAGGAUUUUAUCUUCUAUAAAUUUUAAUGGAAUUUGUAAGUUAUGUUAAACAAAUAAAUAUUUUUAAUAUAAUUAAGUGCGUAUUGCAAAUGUCGUUAUAGAUAUCUUUUUGUUAUUAUUAAAAAAUGGAUAUCAUUGGAUAAAAUAUUUUUUAAAAAGAAUUUCAUGCUGAUUGUUGCAGAAUUUCAAUUAAGGAGUCUAAUCGUUAGAAAAUUAAGGGUUCUUAAUAAAUCCGAUCGAUUUAACUCGUGGUUGGACGUACCAACUACUCUCCACUAAGGUCUACUUUCCAUAUAUCUACGCCCACUAUCAACUCUACGUAGAAAGAAAAGAGAGAGAGAGAGAGAGAGAGAGAGAGACGGAGGGAGGGAGAGGGAGAGAUAAGACCAGAACAAUUUCCGGAGACUACUGCAUCCUACUUGAAUUAUUCCUUAGGUCGUCAGAGCACAAGCUUAGUAAUGAAUGGAACUCUCAAGUUAGAAGUUUCCAAGCAGUGAAAUUGCACGUGGAAAAUUGGAAAAUUUUUGAACGGGAGGUAGCAAAAAAGAAGAAGAAGAAGAAGAAGAAGAACAAAAAAAAAAAGAGAAAAAAGAGAAAAAGAGAGGGGAGAAACUAUAAUCAAACUAUCUAUUCUGCAAAACUUACAAAUCAGCAUGAUAAAGUUCUACCAUAAUGAAAUCAUAUUUAGAGUCUCGGGAGAAACGAUCUGCGACUGACUUUGCAAUUUAUAUAUUCGAUUGGGAAAAAAAUGCGUAGCUAAGGAAUGAACGAUAAAAUUUAGAAGUUAGAGAACGCCCUCGACAGUCCUUGUCGUCUUUAUCAUGUGCCUUUAGGGAUACGAUUUAUACCUGCCUUUGAAAUAUUACCAUCUCGGAAUUGGAGGAUAAGAGAGACUGAGAUAGAUAGGUAGAUAGAAAGAGAGAGAGAGAGAGAGAGAGAGAGA
Molecule: long non-coding RNA, 1141 nt
Organism: Vespula pensylvanica (western yellowjacket)
Lineage: Eukaryota; Metazoa; Arthropoda; Insecta; Hymenoptera; Vespidae
Exons: 2
Source: RefSeq, a predicted model, not a curated record